GAAGGUGUGUCGUGAGGCAUGCUGGAGGUAUCAGAAGUGCGAAUGCUGACAUAAGUAACGAUAAAGCGGGUGAAAAGCCCGCUCGCCGGAAGACCAAGGGUUCCUGUCCAACGUUAAUCGGGGCAGGGUGAGUCGACCCCUAAGGCGAGGCCGAAAGGCGUAGUCGAUGGGAAACGGGUUAAUAUUCCCGUACUUGGUGUUACUGCGAAGGGGGGACGGAGAAGGCUAUGUUGGCCGGGCGACGGUUGUCCCGGUUUAAGCGUGUAGGUGUGUGUUCCAGGUAAAUCCGGUUCACUUUAACACUGAGGCGUGACGACGAGGCACUACGGUGCUGAAGCAACAAAUGCCCUGCUUCCAGGAAAAGCCUCUAAGCAUCAGGUAACAUCAAAUCGUACCCCAAACCGACACAGGUGGUCAGGUAGAGAAUACCAAGGCGCUUGAGAGAACUCGGGUGAAGGAACUAGGCAAAAUGGUGCCGUAACUUCGGGAGAAGGCACGCUGACACGUAGGUGAAGUGAUUUACUCAUGGAGCUGAAGUCAGUCGAAGAUACCAGCUGGCUGCAACUGUUUAUUAAAAACACAGCACUGUGCAAACACGAAAGUGGACGUAUACGGUGUGACGCCUGCCCGGUGCCGGAAGGUUAAUUGAUGGGGUCAGCGCAAGCGAAGCUCCUGAUCGAAGCCCCGGUAAACGGCGGCCGUAACUAUAACGGUCCUAAGGUAGCGAAAUUCCUUGUCGGGUAAGUUCCGACCUGCACGAAUGGCGUAAUGAUGGCCAGGCUGUCUCCACCCGAGACUCAGUGAAAUUGAACUCGCUGUGAAGAUGCAGUGUACCCGCGGCAAGACGGAAAGACCCCGUGAACCUUUACUAUAGCUUGACACUGAACAUUGAGCCUUGAUGUGUAGGAUAGGUGGGAGGCUUUGAAGUGUGGACGCCAGUCUGCAUGGAGCCGACCUUGAAAUACCACCCUUUAAUGUUUGAUGUUCUAACGUGGACCCGUUACCCGGGUUGCGGACAGUGUCUGGUGGGUAGUUUGACUGGGGCGGUCUCCUCCUAAAGAGUAACGGAGGAGCACGAAGGUUGGCUAAUCCUGGUCGGACAUCAGGAGGUUAGUGCAAUGGCAUAAGCCAGCUUGACUGCGAGCGUGACGGCGCGAGCAGGUGCGAAAGCAGGUCAUAGUGAUCCGGUGGUUCUGAAUGGAAGGGCCAUCGCUCAACGGAUAAAAGGUACUCCGGGGAUAACAGGCUGAUACCGCCCAAGAGUUCAUAUCGACGGCGGUGUUUGGCACCUCGAUGUCGGCUCAUCACAUCCUGGGGCUGAAGUAGGUCCCAAGGGUAUGGCUGUUCGCCAUUUAAAGUGGUACGCGAGCUGGGUUUAGAACGUCGUGAGACAGUUCGGUCCCUAUCUGCCGUGGGCGCUGGAGAACUGAGGGGGGCUGCUCCUAGUACGAGAGGACCGGAGUGGACGCAUCACUGGUGUUCGGGUUGUCAUGCCAAUGGCACUGCCCGGUAGCUAAAUGCGGAAGAGAUAAGUGCUGAAAGCAUCUAAGCACGAAACUUGCCCCGAGAUGAGUUCUCCCUGAGACUUAAAGUCUCCUGAAGGAACGUUGAAGACGACGACGUUGAUAGGCCGGGUGUGUAAGCGCAGCGAUGCGUUGAGCUAACCGGUACUAAUGAACCGUGAGGCUUAACCUUACAACGCCGAAG
This 1707-nucleotide ribosomal RNA is filed under the name Salmonella enterica subsp. enterica serovar Enteritidis. RNAcentral's name for it is "partial 23S ribosomal RNA". It matches the Rfam family "Bacterial large subunit ribosomal RNA", at positions 1252 to 2925 of the family's 2925-position model. Lineage: Bacteria; Pseudomonadati; Pseudomonadota; Gammaproteobacteria; Enterobacterales; Enterobacteriaceae. The record is from RNAcentral.